This 85-nucleotide transfer RNA is filed under the name Felis catus (domestic cat). It matches the Rfam family "tRNA". Rfam says of the family: Transfer RNA (tRNA) molecules are approximately 80 nucleotides in length. Their secondary structure includes four short double-helical elements and three loops (D, anti-codon, and T loops). The record is from Rfam by way of RNAcentral. Lineage: Eukaryota; Metazoa; Chordata; Mammalia; Carnivora; Felidae.
GCCUGGGUGGCUCAGUCCAUUAAGCAUCUGACUUCGACUCAGGUCACGUUCUCAUGGUUUGUGGGUUCGAGCCCCGCAUUGGGCU